CAAUUUGUCUGUCAAAAUCGCCGCCAAUCAGCUGAUGCUUAGCAUCAACAACAGAGAUAAGUUAACGGAAGACAAAACUUUUGCGUACUUCUUCAAUAAACUAAAACAUAUCCCACAGUGAAUAUAAUUUUAUAUUUUAGCUCAGCAUAGCCGAUCAUAGAGACCCGGUAUAUGGUCGAUCCUUACAGCUUUGCCGUAAUUCUUCUUUUACAACAAUCAGCUGCUAAGGCGACUGUGAGAAAUAAUGCAGCGGGCAAAGUUUUCAAACGCGUAUGCUGGUUCUACAAAGUGAAUGUAGGAUUUCAAUGAAUGGCCCACGAUCGAACGAUUAACGUCGAUUCUAUAACAUAACAUGGUUAUUUGAGGAGCAACGACUGAGUGCAGGAGCAAGUGCGGAAAGCCACUAUGGUUGCCGGACCGGGCGGGCAGUGAACCGGCUGAUCGGACAAUGGACUAAUCAUACAAUGACAUCAGCAGGUCGGUCGACCGAUGUCCAGACCAGAGAGUGGAUCCUAAGGUGCGCGCAGCAUUAGGUGACUGAUAAUAUAACUGACUCUGGCCAGUUCAGCGCUUGAUGGGGAAUCAGGACAACAAGAGGAUUGGUUGGUCUGGUUACACAUCUCCCAUCACACAUGCUAAGAGAAACCCGGUACAUGAUGUCUUGUUACACUUGGUCCAGUCUACUUGAACAUAGCUAAUUUUACUAUUUGCAUGAAGCUAAAUUAUAAAAAUGUUGCGAGUAACCAUUCAAAAUAAACGCAUCGGUAAUAGUGAUGGGCGAGUCGACCCGAACCUAUCGGGUCGGAGCCAUCCGUAAGCGACCCGGAGUUGUUCGGGUCGACCCGAAAAGUACAAGUAGGUUCAGUAGGUACAACGACUCCGGUAGGUGCAAAAAAGCAUAAGCGACUCUGACCCAUUGGUGCAACGAGUUCGGGUCGGGUGGGGCCAUGGUGGGCUCAUUCCGACCCGCUGGUGCAGCGAGUUCGAGUCGGGUCGUGUCAAGAUAGGUUCAAUCUGACCCGACCCGACCCGAACUUGCUGCACCAACGGGUCGGAAUCUCUUAUGCUCUCUCGCACCUACUCAUCAUUCGGGUCGACCCGAACUCGUUGCACCCACGGGUCGGAUUUCAUUCCGAUUCCGAUUCCGACUGGCUCGCACCCGACUCCGGGUCGGGUCGUGAAAUGAAUCGUAUGACUCACCACUAAUCGGUAUAUCACUUGUGGUUGUUACUGCUGUUAGAAGUGCAGUGUAAAUAUUUUAAAAAUGCCGCAUGUAUGUCCCGAAGGAUAAUAGAGGAUCACCCACGGGGUGGGAAGCACCGUAUUCAAGAGAGAUGUGCGGCAGAAUAACGUUGUUUGAUCUACAGUCUAACCGUAGCUUAUGGCUCACAUUAUAGUCAGGGUAUGACUUCCAUUAUAUACCAAAUAAUCACACACAAUCAUUGAUCUACACACUAAAAUUUUACUCACAAAAGAAGAUGAAUAAGAAUAAUGCCACUUCAAGCUCAUAUAAAAAGUUAGUUUUAAACCUUAUUGGUUCGAAAAAGUUUAAUUCAAUCCUAUAUAGGUGCCGUUAUUGAAAGGGCCCUAAAGUGCAUGCUAACAUGUUUCUUACCGCUGGGGGACCCCGGUAUCACCAAGACAUCACUGGUUCCAUAUUUAAUAAAAAAAAUUAUCGAGGUGGACUGAUUUAAAUAAAUUCCGUUUAAGUAUCCCUUAUCAUUUAAUAAUUGUUUAUGAAGAACUAAUAUGUUUGUCAUAUUUUUCUCCUAUACGUUGCUGACGUGUGAUACACUUAUUCGGCGGCAUGGAAAUUUAUGGAAUCGCUCAGCACAUUGACUUAAAUCAUGUUUAGGUUUUAUUGAAAUUUAGGUUUUUUGUGUAAGUGGUUGUCUAUUCAUCAAUCCACCCUUGUAAUUGUAUUUGGAAUACAGGAAUCUGAGGUACAUCAAGUAGGGAAUAAUACAUAAAACAAAAGUUUAUAAGUACAUAAAAUUCUAUUAACUUAUACUGAAAUACUAUAACAUUGUUACUGAAGAUUAA
Long non-coding RNA from Anopheles arabiensis, 2043 nucleotides. RefSeq lists it as uncharacterized. Lineage: Eukaryota; Metazoa; Arthropoda; Insecta; Diptera; Culicidae. The record is from RefSeq and is a predicted model, not a curated record. The transcript has 2 exons.